RNAcentral lists this ribosomal RNA (848 nucleotides) under Nigrograna hydei. Its description in RNAcentral is "partial large subunit ribosomal RNA". It matches the Rfam family "Eukaryotic large subunit ribosomal RNA", at positions 74 to 941 of the family's 3401-position model. The record is from RNAcentral. Lineage: Eukaryota; Fungi; Ascomycota; Dothideomycetes; Pleosporales; Nigrogranaceae.
AUUGCCCUAGUAACGGCGAGUGAAGCGGCAACAGCUCAAAUUUGAAAUCUGGCCCUUUCAGGGUCCGAGUUGUAAUUUGUAGAGGGCGCUUUGGUGUUGGCUGCGGUCUAAGUUCCUUGGAACAGGACGUCACAGAGGGUGAGAAUCCCGUACGUGGUCGACAGUCUUCACCGUGUAAAGCCCCUUCGACGAGUCGAGUUGUUUGGGAAUGCAGCUCUAAAUGGGAGGUAAAUUUCUUCUAAAGCUAAAUAUUGGCCAGAGACCGAUAGCGCACAAGUAGAGUGAUCGAAAGAUGAAAAGCACUUUGGAAAGAGAGUCAAAAAGCACGUGAAAUUGUUGAAAGGGAAGCGCUUGCAAUCAGACUUGCCUGUAGUUGCUCAUCUGGACUCUUGUCCGGUGCACUCUUCUGCGGGCAGGCCAGCAUCAGUUCAGGCGGCUGGAUAAAGGCCUCUAUCACGUAUCUUCCUUCGGGAUGACCUUAUAGGGGAGGUGUAAUGCAGCCAGCCUGGAUUGAGGUCCGCGCAUCUGCUAGGAUGCUGGCGUAAUGAUUGUAAGCGGCCCGUCUUGAAACACGGACCAAGGAGUCUAACAUCUAUGCGAGUGUUUGGGUGUCAAGCCCGGACGCGCAAUGAAAGUGAACGGAGGUGGGAACCCUCACGGGUGCACCAUCGACCGAUCCUGAUGUCUUCGGAUGGAUUUGAGUAAGAGCAUAGCUGUUGGGACCCGAAAGAUGGUGAACUAUGCCUGAAUAGGGUGAAGCCAGAGGAAACUCUGGUGGAGGCUCGCAGCGGUUCUGACGUGCAAAUCGAUCGUCAAAUUUGGGCAUAGGGCGAAAGACUAAUCGAACG